Molecule: small nuclear RNA, 105 nt
Filed under: Macaca nemestrina (pig-tailed macaque)
Lineage: Eukaryota; Metazoa; Chordata; Mammalia; Primates; Cercopithecidae
Source: RNAcentral
GUGCUCACUUUGGUGGCACAUACAAUAAAAUUGGAAAGAUACAGAGAUUAGCAUGACCCCCUGCACAAAGAUGACACACGCAUUCAUGAAACUGUCCAUGAAAAA